This is a long non-coding RNA of Mus musculus (house mouse), 6469 nucleotides long. RefSeq annotates it as predicted gene, 30512. The record is from RefSeq and is a predicted model, not a curated record. NCBI's taxonomy places the organism in Eukaryota, Metazoa, Chordata, Mammalia, Rodentia, Muridae. The transcript is spliced from 3 exons.
GAAAACACAUAUUACUCUUCCAAAGGAUGCCAAUAGCUAUUUCUGAACUGCUUCUCAUGGAGGCAGCUUCUGAGGAAAGGAGAUGUACUUGCAGGGCUAUUCUGGUCCUGGAUCUUCUAGGGAGGGAGAGGUAGAAAUAAAUUAAAAAAAAAAGUCUUGAGAAAUAAUGCUAGAAUUUCUUCCAGAGCAAGAAUGGAGGUCACAUUUCUGCAAACAGAUUGUUUAAAGAUCACAACGGAAUAAGACUUUUCUCUUGUACACAAGAGUUAGGAAGAGAACCGGCAAAGGAAAGAUUAUGCAGUGAGGUUUGGGAGGGGCUGCGGCAUGGGGAAGUAGAUUAGAACCAUAAGACUGAAGCUAGCAAGACAGCGAUCUGUGCGUAAUAGACUAUGACCAGAGGGCUUUAACGGCAAAGAGAAAACAGAGCGGCUCUAGCGCAGCGAUUGUGGAUGAUGCAGUUUUCCCUGACUGAAAACCUAAGGGCUCCUUGUUCGUUGAGAAGAAUUUAUGGUCAGCAAUCUCACAAUGAUAUUAAAAGGUAAACUCUUGCUGACUGAAGAAAUCGCUGCAGUUUAAGUCCGACCCCGUGUCUCAGAUUUAGGCGGCCUCAGCUAUCUAAAGAAGACUUGGCCUUUCAGUACUCACAAAAGGGCGAUGAGCAGCUUUGUCACAGUAGAUAUAGUUUGUAGAACUGUGAGUUUGGGUGCAGUUCUAUAGAAGCAUCACAGGCUGAGUGCCAUAAUCUUAACAUGGAAAAGAAUAGGCCUUAGGUAUAGCUCAGUGGAUAGUGUUUCCCAUCCGAGCCCAAAGACUAGAGUUUGGAUCUCUAGUACUGCCAUGAAAGUAAAAGCCUAGCAUUCAUGGUAGCCUGCCUGCAAUCCCAACCUUUGGGAGGCAAAGGCAUGAUCUCCCCAGAACAAGCAGGGUACAUAAGACGAUCAUUAAUAAUUACCUGCUGGUUAGUUCUUGACAUAGACUUUGUAUGCCUUAUGACUGCAUAUUAAAAAUAAUUCUUAUCUUAGUUCCAUUUCUUGUUUCUGUAAUAAAAUAAACUGGAAAAGUACUUUAAGGGGAUUGUGGGGGCGAUAGUUAGCUAUUGUAUUACAUCCAUUGUCAAGAGAAAGAACUUGUGACUUAAUGCAUGCACACAAGAGUGCCAGGCUCAGUACUCAGCUCAGUUUCUCUACUGCAGUUCAGUAGAGAGUUACAGAAUACUAUCACACAGGUUAGAAUUCCCUUUCUAGUGAAUGGGGUCACCCACAGUUGUCUUCUCACUUAGUUUCUAUAAUUAAGAUAAGGUCCCACAAACAUACUCAUAGGGCAAACUAAUCGAGAUGGACAUCCAGACUGCCUUUCUAGAUGAUUCUAGGUUGUGUCAAGUUGAUAAUUCAAAAUAAUCAUCAUGAUAUUUAUGGUGUCUUUACCUUUUUCUGAUGGCUAACCUAGUGCCAGGGUAAAGUUCUCUAACUACCCAUUUACAACAGCUCCCCUCCCACAGUGUCAUUGGUUUGCAGAGAAAUGCUGGAUUAAACAUCAUCAUAGACCAUUGUUAUAUAAAGCUCUUUUCAUAAUCCAGUGCCCCCAUAGGAUGAAACUACAAGAAAGUUAUAUGAAAUGCUGUCAUCUACCUGUGAACUGCACUGUGAAGAACGGUAACUCAUGUACAUUUUAACUUCAGGCAUAUUUUGUUCUGUAUGUUCUCAUCUUUGACCCCUUGAUUAAUUCCAGAAGGCCUUAGAAAAAAUAAUUCACAAGAUUCAUGAUAGUAUUAUAUAUGUCCUGCAUUGAGAAAGGCCUGUGUAAGAACCUCCUUCCAGUAGUCUAUGAGUUCCAAACAUGCCAUGUUUACUCCUAGAUCUGUGUCAAGACUUGUGUUUCAGAAAUUCUUCCAUGUCAUGCAACAUGCCUGGCGAGUCCCUUGAAACUCAAGAUCCACUCCCCCUCCAUUUUCCUGCAGAAAGGAACGGGUAUUCAACAGAGAACAACCAAGGAAGACAAAACAAAAUAGACUAAGACAAAGCAAAAGCCCUCAUAUUGAGGCUAGGCAAGGCAAGGCAACCAAAUAGCAGGCAAGAGUCAGAGAGGCACCUGUUUCCAUUGUUAGAAGUCCAACAAAAACACCACACUUAACAUAUGAGCAUAGGACCUGGUGCAGACCCUUGCAGGUCCCAUGCUUGCCACAGUUCCUGUGAGCCUAUUGAACCCUGCUUAGAUGAUUCAGUGUGGGUAGGCCAUGCUCCCCUGCUGUCCUCCACCCUGUCUAACUACUAUAAUCUUUCCUUUCCCUUUUCUGUGGUCCCCAAGCUUCAGGGGAAGGAACUUGAUGGAGAGCUCCAAUUUAGACAUUCUCUGCAUAAUGUCUAGCUGUGGAUUCUGCACCCACUCUGGCGUGCUGCCAAGAGGAGUGGAAGCCUUUCUGAUGAUGACUGGACAAAGAUUAAUCUAUGAGUGUAUCAGAACAUCAACUGGAAUAAUUUCUUUGUGGUUUUGUUUUGUUUUGUUUUAUAUGGCUGGUCCGAUUUGAUUCUACCCUAGGUCUCUGGGCCAUCCAGUGUCUAGUUCCUGGGCAUCCUGGCAGUACAGGGAAGGAGUUUCCACUCAUGGAAUGUGCCUCUAGUUAAACCAGACUUUGGGUGACCGCUUCUGUACAUUCUGUGCCACCAUCGUCCUAGCAUAUUUUGCAGACAGGACAGAUCGUAGGUCAUAGGUUUUCGGGCUGGGUUGAUGUCCAUGUUUCUCUUUCCAAAACCUGCAAUGUAUCUUCCUAGACCAAUAGGACUAGAAUGUAGAGGUGAAAGCGACUUGGAGGCACCAGCUUGACCUCUCUAUUUUCAAUGAACUAUGUGAAUGUUGUAUUCAGCAAUUCGGUCCCUGCUAUCAGUUUGCAGAGAGCAAUUGUCUUAGUCAGGGUUUCUAUUCCUGCACAAACAUCAUGACCAAGAAGCAAGUUGGGGAAGAAAGGGUUUAUUCGGCUUACACUUCCAUACUGCUGUUCUUCACCAAAGGAAGUCAGGACUGGAACUCAAGCAGGUCAGAAAGCAGGAGCUGAUGCAGAGGCCAUGGAGGGAUAUUCUUCACUGACUUGCUUCCCCUGGCUUGCUCAGCCUGCUCUCUUAUAGAACCAAGACUACCAGCCCAGAGAUGGUCCCACCCACCAGGGGCCUUUCCCCCUUGAUCACUAAUUGAGAAAAUGCCUUACAGUUGUAUCUCAUGGAGGCAUUUCUUCAACUGAAGCUCCUUUCUCUGUGAUAACUCCAGCUGUGUCAAGUUGACACAAAACUAGCCAGUACAGCAAUCCUCUGCCCUAGAAUCAGCAUACGUUAUUUGGGUUUCUUCAUGGCAACCCAUGGCCAACUUAUCUGCAUACAUCCCUUACCUACCACUGGAACCCUGGCCUGGUUACCAAAGAUGUCCAGUUCAGACUUUAUGUCCUCCAUUACUAGGACUCUUCAUUAGGAUAGUCCUCAGAGCUUCCAGGAAGUUGUUACUGCUCUGGCUUUCCACACUGACUCCUAAAUGACCUCUAAUUUCAGCCAUCUCUCCUCAAAUACUCUUCCUCCAAUCCCCUCACCCAAUAAUUCCUGCUCCCAUGCCACCAUACCACCCCUGAAAUCUAUUCUAUCUCCCUUUCACCAGGAAGUCCAUGGGUUCUUUCUACCCCAGCCCUCCUCUUUACUUAACUUCUCUGAGCCUGUGGAUUGUAUCUUGAUUAUCAUUAUUUUAAGACUAAUAUCCACUUAUGAAUGAAGAUAUACAAUAAUUGUCUUUCUGGGUCUGGAUUACCUCAGUCAGGAUGACUUUUUUCUUGUUACAUCUGUUUGCCUGCAAAUUUCAGGAUGUUAUUAUUUUUAACAGCUGAGUAAUAUUCCAUUGGUAAAUGUAUCACAUUUUCUUCAUCUUUUCUUUGGCUGAGUAGCAUCAGAUGUGAGAGUGAUCUGUGAGAGUGAUCUGGGUUUGAGAUCUAUCACCCCAUUGAUCAGGAUUGAUUUGGUUGAUCUAACUUCCCUUUCACACCACUCCAUGCAGAAACUCCAAGCUGCAUACUCACGGAAAGAGGAUGAGAUUUCUAAAAUAGAGAAGUAGCUGCUAGGGUUUAGGUCUAGUUGAGAUCUCCUCCUAGAGCCUCCAAACACACCUCUCAGGAACAAUGCCUUCUUAAAAACAUGCAAACGAAGUAGAACAAGGUGGCUACACCCUUGCAGAAUCUUUAUAUGUAGCUGUUUACAUAGUAUCCCAAUGAGUUAGAAAGUAUAUAUUGAAAGCAUACAUUGGAAGUAUACAUUGAAAUCAAAGAGAUGCUGUCUAGUACAGCAUAUCCUUUCAGAGUGCUUACCCUCUAUGUUGGAUGACACUCUGGAUCCUUAGAGUAGGAGAUCCUGCUUCCCUUUGCCACUCUUGCAUAGAAUACAACUGGCCUGAAACUCCACCUCCCACUUUUGCUUAAUAACAGAAGGCUGUUAUGACUUUGCAAAUAUCCCAUUCUUCCCUAGAGAAGAAGGUUUAACGGGAUGAUGAUUUUGGGAACCAGUAGAUGGUUUGCAUCUCCAUGAAAGGGCAUCUCUAGGCCUUCACAGCCAUAAUCAUAAGGAUGCGAGAAAGUACGAUAAGUCACAUGGGAUCAUUUUUCCUUGGCUAAGUCAUAUAUACUCUACAUUAAAAAAUAAUUAGGUAAUUACUCACUGAUGUCUUUUUCUCCUAAGCACCUAUAACUAGAAAUCAGGAGAUUAGAAUGUAGAAUCUUUCUUAUCUAGUAGUUAAUGAAAUUUAGGUUUUGCAAAAUAAUUUUCCAGGGUAAGUUGAGGGGAACAUUAUGAAAACAAUAUCUUACUAUGAAUAUUCUCUAAUUAGAUCACUUUUCAUCAGUUUAUUUUUGUUGCUGUUUUGUUUUCUUUUCUUUUCUCUACUUCAUGGAAAUUCUGGGUGUAUAAGCCCUUAUGCAACUCUAUCUUUUUAAUUUAUAAAAUGAACUUAAAAUGUUCUCUUUAUUGCGAAUGCACAUACAAAAUAAUGUCUGGCAAGAGAGUAGAACAACGGGUGUGGACUCUGAACCCAUGUUCUCUGACUACAGAACACAAGGUCAGGCCACUGGCUUCCUUAGCAGCCUGGGUUCCAUCUUCACAGGUGACUGCUUUUCUACAUGUGGUGUUGGGCACUUGUGACCUUUGUUUUAUUUAUUUUUUGUUUUUGUUUUUGUUUUUGUUUUUUGUUUUUUUGUUUUUUUCCUUUUUGUUUAAGGUGAGAUAGGAUGACUUCAUGACAGACUUCAAAUUGGCAGUUGAAGGGACUAGGCUUAAGAACUGAGAAAGUCCAGGAAAACCCAGGCAAGCAGUUACUAGAAAACAAAAACAACAACAACAACAAAAACAAAAACAAAAACCAAACAACCAUACUUCAAGCAGCUAGUCAGAAACUAGAAGCUGCCCAGCCACCUAGCCUGAAGCAAGGACAAUGGACAGCAGAUCAGCAAGUUUCCAGACCUCCCUGGUAAUGGAAUGUUCCUAGAGAUGAAAUAAGAUAAAGGCCAACUACCUUGGACUUCCUCAUUAACACUUUGAAGCCCCCCACCCCCCACCCCAGUGCCCCAGUAAUGGGAUGCUCAGAGAUGGAGUCAGAUAGAGUUCCCCUACCCCAGUGUUCCCUUAAUGUGCUUUAAAUUGGGCCUGUGAGCUCGUUUGAUUUUCUCUCCAUUUUGGAAUGAGGGACCCACACAUGCUAGAUUUAGGCAGAAUAAAACACUUCUUGCUUUUGCAAACUACUUGAGUCUGGGGUAUCACUCUUCAGCAAACAACGGAUCCUUACAAAGAAAGGGACUUAAUUUACUGAUAUAUUGGAUUUUUUUAAAAAGUAGAUAAAUAUGAAUUUCAAUAGAAGCUGUUAACUUUAUGAGUAAUAUAUAAUCUCAGAGGAUGAAUUGGGCAACAACUAUUCAAAAUUACACCAACAAUUGGACAGCUUAUUCAUUUCUUCUAGAAAUGGAUUGAUCAUUGCAAGAGCCCAGCAAUUCUUGGAUCAGCAUGUUCAAAUUAACAAAAUCUUAUAUUCUAAGACAUGGCUUCAGACUGGAAGGAAUCUUUUACUUUUAAUAAUUUAGAUAUUUUUACAUAUUUUUCCCUCUUUGGUCUUUUGAGCCAGGGUCUUACACAGUCUGGGCUGGUCUAGCCUUCACUAUGUAACAGAUGCUUGCUUUGAACUACCCUGACCCUUCUUCCUCCAUCUCCUACGUGCUAGUAUAAUAGGUAUGUGCCAUUUUGCCCAACAGAAGAUUUUGCAUCUUAAGCUAAAUGGAUAUAUUAGUUAUUAUAUUACUAAGUGAAUAUAUUAUAAAUCUAAAUGAAUAUAUGUUAUUAUUUUCAAGUUCACAUGGAAGAAUCUUUCUGUCUCCUCUGAUGUAACUAUUGGAAUCAGUCAGUGGGUCCAAUUUGUGCUGUACUGUAUCCUAUCACUGUAAAGUUGGCUGUUUCAAACAUCA